Molecule: long non-coding RNA, 7597 nt
Filed under: Brassica napus (rape)
Lineage: Eukaryota; Viridiplantae; Streptophyta; Magnoliopsida; Brassicales; Brassicaceae
Description: long non-coding RNA (BNAP_LNC017802)
Source: RNAcentral
UGUAGGAUUUUAGUUUACAGUUUGGGUUUACGGUUUAGGAUUUGGGUUUAUAGUAUAGAGUUGGGGUUUAGGGUUUACUAUUUGGGUUUAGAGUAUAUGGUUUGAGUUUAGUAUUUAGGGGUUAGAUUUAGAUUUAGGGUUUAGAAUUUAAGAUUUAGGGUUUUGUUAGACAUCAUUCUUUUUUCAACUAUUUUAAAAUUUUAAAUACAAUUUAAUAUUUUUUAUUAAUUAUCUAGGUGGCACUUUGAUUGGUAGUAAGAGAGAUGGUGAAUUUAAAGGUUCACCGUAGGGGUGAACCUAAGUUUUAACUAGACAAAAAUAUAAGGGUUGACAAAGUUGUAUACAUAUAAGAGCAUCGUUAUCCUAGAAACCCCAUUUGGUAUACUUAAAUUUUUUUUUUUUUACUUUUUCGAAUUUAGAAAAGAAAAAAAAUUAAAAACGAACCAAUCGCGAGCCGCCACGUGUCAGUGGAGCCCGCGAACCGUGUAAGAAACCCUUAAGGACCGACUACUAUUUGGUAGUUUUGGUAACCGGUUUCUUAAAAAAAAGUGGGUCCUACGCGGGACCCACACGCUAAGAACCCCUCUAGUGUCUUUGGAUAAAGAUGCUCUAAGAUUCCCGUUUGUUUUUACAAAAAAAAAAGAAAUUCCCGUUCGUUUACGCUCAUGCAAAACAAUAAAAAGUAGGGCAUUCCUAAAUAACAUAAAAACCAUUUCCUUGGCAAAAAAAACAUAAAAACCAUUUAUAACCUUAUACUACAUGUCAAUCUGUCAUUUUCUCAAGCUGUACGUGUGCGUAUCUACACAUAGCCAGUGUUCUAAAGAUUGCGCAAGUCGGACAAGACUUCGGGUUUUCCGAUGGGAUACUAUCCGUGACUGUCACAAUCUGCGCACACUACGCCAGGAAAAAAACGCGAGACUUGUUUUGAUUUUAGGCACCACGUUUGCUGUACGUUUGUGACUAACUUGAUGUUAAGUAAAUGCUGUCGACGUUGUGUUGCUGCUGAAGAGUUAGCAGCUCAGACCCAAGACGGUGGCGAUGACAAUCAAGGCAACGAUGCACAGAGCGCAGGUCGAAGCAAUGAAGCAGCUGAUGGAGAAGAACAUGGAGUACUUGAUAAUGAUCAUGAUAUUGAUAUUGAGAGUGAUGCCGAGUCUGUCUUCUAUUCACCAGCAAGUGGUCCUAAUCGUCGUUGGUAGAAGAGCAGCUGCCGCAAGUCUAAAUAUUAUGUUUGCCUUUAUUAUUUUAGGGUUUUGUUUGUCCAACGUAACUCUAUUUUAGGAUAUGUUUUUGGAAGAACGACUGCUGAACUAUCUUUCUCUUUUUUUUCUACAGUGUUUGCUUAUGAAUUAUGCAUGGUUCGUUAAUUUACUGAAAAACGAAAUGUGCCUAUCGAGUUUUAUUAGUAUUAAAUUUACUUAUUGGGAAUCAACCAUCACAAUAUAUAAGUUACUACGGGUUACUUAUAUAUGAAAUCAUUUGAUUACUACGGGUUAAAAAAUAUCACCAGCAUCAGACCAACUUAUUGUAUUUUAUUGUUUCUUAGAUUUAAUAGUAUUGAUUUGCACAAAAAAAAAAAAGUUAGGAUAUACGUUUGAAAUGUGUUGGCAAAUGAAAAGACGAAAUAAACCUUAGAUAGCCGAAACUUGAAAGAUUUUAAGCCUUUAUUAAAAAGGAAAAAGAAAAACUUGAAGGAUUUUGUAACGUUAUUCAGAUUUCGAAAAAUCUGGGAUUCUGUUUGAGAUAUUCGAUUUUUUUUUCAAGGAAAUAAGUUUUUUUUUUAAAAAAAAAAAUAAGAAGGGUUAAACCCGGGUCUAUUAAAGACACAUACCUAAUCUCCGGGUAGAGGUACAGCCGGUAGAUAGAUCCUUUCCUAAGCAUUCAAAUGAGCCGAAAGCAAUAGCACAUAUCCGUAUGGUCAGCGGGAUUCAAACCAGAGUUCGGCGUAUUGGAUAUAUUCCCUCAAGCGCCACUGGACUACCACGAACCGUGCAAAUAAGUUAUUUUACUCUUUUGAAUUGUUCGGUAAAAUUGUGGUACCUUUAGGAUAAAAGAACAUGAUCAACAAAUGACAAAUUAGGGUUGCCUUUUACAUGUUAGAGACUGUUCAUGACAGUAACUUUGUACAUUUCAGUUUUGGUGAAAACGGAUGCCCAUCAAUCGCUAAAUGUUAAAUGACACUAACGGACAGAGAGAGAAACUACAACACGUCAUCACACCAGAUGUAACCAGGGAGAAAAUAAAUUUAAGAUCGCAAGAUUAAAUUGAAAACUGUUGGAAUCGAGUGGUUGAGAAUCAUGAACCCACGUGACUCACCCUUAAAUAUAUAGAGUAACAAACUAAUUGUAUAGAGAUAGAGAGCGCUCUUUGGUAAACCAAAAUCGUUCUUAUCCAUAUUUUUCCUCGUUUUCUCAUUCCGAACAAGAAAAUGGCGAAUCCUUCAGAUAAAGUUGUAGUUAAAUGGGUGAAUGACACACGGGCUCGAGUUUGUUGGGUCAUACUGGCUAGCCUCUGCCUAUGUGGAUUCACACAGUUGAUGGAAGUCUUCAAAGACGAGAGCCAAGUUAUCUACAAGUAUGUUGGGAUGAGUUUGGUGUCUCUCUACGUGAUUUUGCUGGUCAAGUCUCUGUGCUCUGAUGAAACUCCAACCAUAGCUUAUAGGUCUGGUUCCUGUCUACGGUCGUUUGUGCCAUUGGUGAUUUUCUUCAUCAUCUUCAUCACAAUCUACUAUCACCGAACCCUAGGAGUCUCUAUUCUCACUUUAUCCAUCCUUUUUGGUGUAGUGGCUUUAAUGCAAUUGCUUUUUCCAAUAGAUGAGUUCUGUGUGGGUUAUGUUAUGGUCAUCAUAACUUUGGGGAUCUCUAUAGCUUGCAGUGUUGUAGACUAUGAUCUUGAAGAGGUCAUGCCUUCUCGGGUUUAUUUUCUCCUAUAUUUUCUUGUGUGAGAUGAUAAUUGGUGUUAUCAACUAUCCAGGAAAUCACCGAUUCUUUAAUAGCUAUUGACAUGUAUCUUCAUCAGUUUUACUUGUGUUUUUAAUAUUCCUUUGUUUCAUCUUAAUUAUUUCAGUUUGAGUAGUUCAUCUUUAUGAAUGUAAUUUCUUUUCUUUCUGUUUCUAUAUAAGAUCAUCUUAUUGACAUUGUGAGUUUCUGCUUUGUUGCGAUUUAAUUAAUGAGUUCGUUAAAAAUAAGCUGCUGCGCCAAAGUUAAUGUUAAGCCCUCAUAAAAAUAAGUUUAUAUUGAUCGAGCUAGCAAAACCAUAUUGAUCGAACUUGUUCGAAAUUGACAUAUCAAAAUAUAGAUACUUAACAGAAUAAUAAUCAGCUAACUCCAUUCUUUCUACUUAGCGAUUUAACAUAUGCUGCUCCAACAUAAGGCACAAAUUAGAGCCAAGUCUCCCCGUUAGGAAACUGUGUAUAAUGCAUUAUUUUCUGUCACGAAACAGCAAAUAUAAGACGUCACGUAUGGUUUAAUAACCUGGUUUGCUACUAGGGAUUAGAGAUGAAGCCAAGAUGAAGUUAGAGUUCGUCUUUCAAAUUUCACUUUUUACUUAAACAAUCUAAAACUAAAAUCACACAUGUUGUAAAAAGCUUUUUUUUGAAUAAAUUUAACAUUCUUUCAAAAAAAAAAACAUAAGGCGUUUGUAAGUUGCACUAUAUUUUGAAAUCAUUUUUUCAAGCUGUAUAUCAUAUAAAGAUGCAACAAACAUCUCAGUUUCCAUGAGUAAUAGUCGCCACUAUAAAUGACAAGUACCGCUUAGUCUCUCUAGUUGCGACUCUUUAGGCGAUUUGACACAACCAUUUUUGUGAGAAGAAUGUCCAUUAUAAUUCUCUGGAUAUGUUUUACAUAACUAAUGAGAAGAAAGUGGAUACUAUAAUUACUAAUCAAAAACAAUAUCAACGGCUGAUUUUAAAGAAGAAAAAAUAAAAACAAAUCUAAUAGAAGAGUUUCGGUACAAAAUCGUUUCUGGAGAAUGCAAAUCUUCUUGAGUUUUCUUAUGUUGUAAUAUGGAGUCUAACCAAAUACACAAUUUAGAAAAAUAUCAACGAUUUUUUUUUUUUUUUUAGAAUAUGUGGAGAAAGAAAAAAUUGAAAUUGAACAAGUCCCGGGAAAUAAGCAAAAGGCGGACAUCUUGACUAAAGCGUUAGGAAUAAUCAAGUUUCGAGAAAUGAGAGACAUUCAUUGGUAUGGAAGAUUCGGAGAAAAUGGAUUUCAAAUUUAAAGGGAGAAAUGUUGAAUUAAACUUGAAGAAUAAAAAAAUUUAAGGGGUAAGUAAAAACCUAAUCCUACCAAAUUAUGGAAAUUAGGAUUUAAUAUAUUUAGGAGUUAUCUACAUGUAUUACCAAAUAGUCUCUAUAUAAAAAGAUGCCAAAAUAUGGCGAAAGAUUUGAGAGCUUUAAUUUUGAGUUAGUUUUCUAAAGUAAAGUUUUGAGUUUGAUUUCUUGAAUUCUUAACCUUUGAGUUACGUUUUGGUUUGAUACAAUAAAUCAUUCAACUAAAAUGCCAAACCGAAUUUGACAUUACUUUGCUGAAGACUGCAGUUACCCAAAAAUAAUUGAAUUCUCAAUGUUUUAUUCCAGUAUUGUAUGUAGAUUUUGCAUUAUUAUUUCCACCGAGGAGAAACAUUAUGUAUUCUCCAAAAUUGUGAAAAUAAUAAAAAAUUAUUCAAACUUAAUAUAUACUACAAAAUACAAGAACACUUUAGCUCUAAUUCGAUCUUUUAAAUUAACUAGUGUAUAUUCAUCUCUUGCUUAUUACACGUCUAAGUGUGCAAGCAAGCAGUUCUAUUACCCAUUGCUUAAGCAACAAAAAUUCACAAACUUAGCUUUGGAUAUUAUAUUAAAACUACAAAAGUAAUUUACAAAAGUUAUCAUUUGUAUGAUCCUUCACAUUGAAUAGCAAAUAUCAUUAACUACUUUCAUUACCAGAAAAAAAAAGACAAUAAACGAGCCAAAUCCUUAACAGCAAACGACCAGAGUUUGCCUGUAAGAAUAAUAGUCUUCACUUCCAUCCCAGAACAAUCAAUACCUAGUGCUAUUCCUCCUUCCCCACCACUUCCUCUUCACCUUCUCCAUCGAACCGCCACUCUCUUCACUCCCAAGUUUGCUCAGUAUCAUCUUCGUUUCCCUCAACCUCCCUCCAUAAUCCUUCUUCCACGUCUCAAACAUCUGUUUCAACCUCCUCAGCUCUCUCUCCGGGUUCAAGUUUGCUUCCACCUGACCAGACUUCACUUCCACCAAGAACUUAGCAUCAUCACCAAAAACUUGAGCUCUCUGUUCAAACUCCUCCGCCAACCGUCCAAUCACACUAAGACCAGCACUCAUAGGCUGUUGUUGUUGUCUCCCCCCUCCUCCGUUGCUUGCCUGACUCUUGAACUGAUUACUGCUUGAAUCCCAAUCCGUUGCGUCGCUUGCAUUGACCGAUGCAUCCGAGUUUCUAGCAGAGUCCUCGACCGCUAGGCUUUUCUUUGCUAUGGAGAGGCUAGAUUGCAACGACCGCAUUUGCUUCUGCCAGAUUUCUUCCAUUGAUUUCAUCUUUGUCUCGUACUCUGACCAACGGUUCUCGUACUGUUGAAGCCUCUGUUGAAGAAUGUCGUUCUCCUCUUCUUUCUCACGCAGAGCAGCUUCCGAUUUGAGUACCCUGCGUUGAAGGUCGGAAAGUACAGAUGCCUUUACUAGCACCUCGCCUGACUCAUUUGUCUGCGCAGUUGGUUAGUAACCAAAUCAAAAGCAGAACACAACAAUGAGACUUAAGAAGAUAAAUAGAUACUGUGAGAGGAUUUGAAUGUGGAUAUAAUCCUAUUAGUACCUUAGUGCCUCCAGAUUUUAACCAUCCAAUGUCCCCUGAGCAUCUUCUAACCAACCAACCACGAAUUGCUGCAAGAAGAUUACACUAACUCAGUGUCAUGAGAAGACCUACAACAUCUAAAAAGUACAACAAAAGCUUUUUACCUGAUUGUAUCACAAGAGAAGCUUCUGUUAUGCCCUUAUACUGUUUCCUAGCAAUCUUGCUUUUAACUUGGCUUUGUAUAGUAGCUGCAGCCCUAUGCCUCCUUCGUAACUCGGCAAACUCCUUUCUUACUUUAUCUCCACGAACAACUGUUGAAAAAGAGGUGGGACUAAGCCAUAUCUCAUGUUAAGCCGAAAUUAUAUCUCAUGUUAAAGCACUGAGACAAGAGAGCUAUACAUGACUGGAGAAUAGAAAUUCCCAUUUUAAGCUUCUUCAGGUGACAACGUGCUUGGUAUCCUCUAAAAGAGCUUUGUACACGUAAAAUGCCAUGGAGUGUACGGUUCCUUGUAUCUUCAAGAACCCCAAUCUGCAAUGCACAUGAGACUACUAUUCAUGCCUCUUUCUAAAAGAAAGUCUUUGACAUCAAGCCGACUAGCUAUUUAUACCUGGCCGGUUCUGAAAAACAACUUCGUGUAGCCAACUUGGUACAUCUCCGGCAAGAUAUUGAACUGAUGGAGGAUCGCAACUGAGACACUUAGAGGAUCUUUAUCAGCAAUGUUCUCCACCAGAAGGAAACCAUACCUGUUGUGUGAUCAUUUAAAGAAACAAUGUGGUUAGAAGAUAAGCAUGUAAUAACUGAUAGAUGAUGGAUGGCACCGUCACCUUCUGGCAAAUUUCUGAUGAGACACUCUUGUAGGAAAUCCAGACCGUGAGAUUCGAACAACUUCUAAGACCCCACAACAUCUUAGCUGCUGUAAGACAAGUCCUUGCUCAUACAACCCUGGAGACUGAACGUUAUUUGGCUUGAUGCAACGAAUGAAAUGUGGGGUAGUGUUCCCUAAACGUUGCAUCAAUUGGAAUAGUUGACCCUGGACAAAAAGAUCCAUGUAGAUGAUUAAUAAUCAAAAUAUUAUGGAGGAUAAGAAAGAUGCAUCAAAUGUUCAUAGUGAGAGAGGCAACAACUAGUAAUCUUCACAUCACAUCAAUGCAGGUAAUGAGCUUUAAAGUAAAGAGGCAUCAAAUGUUCAUAGUAUGAGAGGCAAAAACUGGUAAUCUUGACACAAACCACAACAAUAUCAAAGCGGUAUUCUUGACAUCACAUCUAUGCAGAUAAUGAGCUUUAAAGUAAAGCAGGUAACUAGAACUAAAGUAACACCAAGUCUGUGUUUGAGGCCAAAACAAGCUACCUUAAAUUUGGUAGCUACACUCAACCGCUGGGAAUCAGCACCACCUGCUUUGUACAAAGGACCGACUACAGGUUUUUCAGAUUGGAUCAGCAUGCUAGAAGCAAACGCUCGAGGAAGGUGGCAGGAGCAAGAGGACAAAAGCUGAAUAGAAUCCAAGUGCAACAGGUCUCUGUUCUUCUCUAGAAAUCCUGUUGUGUCAUAUGUAACCUGAUUCAGAACAAAAAAAAAAAGCAUUCACGACCGAGACUAGAUUCAUGCUUGCUAUCAAAUUUCUAUAUCUCCAAAGAAAUGCCUUUUUGUUUCAUGGAAUGCCUUGUUGAUUGGGGUCACUGAGAUUUCAAGAGCUAUUACCUCUCCUGCAUAAUGCACAACUGUGAAAAGCUUCUCUCGAUCUCCUCUGAAACAUGAAUUAGAGUGAAGAUGCUGUUUUAAGGUGAAUUUAAAGGUUCACCGUAGGGGUGAACC